CCUACGGGUGGCAGCAGUAGGGAAUCUUCGGCAAUGGACGGAAGUCUGACCGAGCAACGCCGCGUGAGUGAAGAAGGUUUUCGGAUCGUAAAGCUCUGUUGUAAGAGAAGAACGAGUGUGAGAGUGGAAAGUUCACACUGUGACGGUAUCUUACCAGAAAGGGACGGCUAACUACGUGCCAGCAGCCGCGGUAAUACGUAGGUGGCAAGCGUUGUCCGGAUUUAUUGGGCGUAAAGCGAGCGCAGGCGGUUAGAUAAGUCUGAAGUUAAAGGCUGUGGCUUAACCAUAGUACGCUUUGGAAACUGUUUAACUUGAGUGCAGAAGGGGAGAGUGGAAUUCCAUGUGUAGCGGUGAAAUGCGUAGAUAUAUGGAGGAACACCGGUGGCGAAAGCGGCUCUCUGGUCUGUAACUGACGCUGAGGCUCGAAAGCGUGGGGAGCAAACAGGAUUAGAUACCCUGGUAGUC
Molecule: ribosomal RNA, 465 nt
Filed under: uncultured Streptococcus sp.
Lineage: Bacteria; Bacillati; Bacillota; Bacilli; Lactobacillales; Streptococcaceae
Description: bacterial SSU rRNA
Rfam family: Bacterial small subunit ribosomal RNA
Source: RNAcentral